This 424-nucleotide ribosomal RNA is filed under the name uncultured bacterium. RNAcentral describes it as "bacterial SSU rRNA". It matches the Rfam family "Bacterial small subunit ribosomal RNA", at positions 355 to 796 of the family's 1533-position model. The record is from RNAcentral.
UGGGGAAUAUUGGACAAUGGGCGCAAGCCUGAUCCAGCAAUGCCGCGUGUGUGAAGAAGGUCUUCGGAUUGUAAAGCACUUUCGGCGGGGACGAUGAUGACGGUACCCGCAGAAGAAGCCCCGGCUAACUUCGUGCCAGCAGCCGCGGUAAUACGAAGGGGGCUAGCGUUGCUCGGAAUGACUGGGCGUAAAGGGCGCGUAGGCGGAUGACACAGUCAGGCGUGAAAUUCCUGGGCUCAACCUGGGGGCUGCGUUUGAUACAUGUUGUCUGGAGUUCGGAAGAGGGUCGUGGAAUUCCCAGUGUAGAGGUGAAAUUCGUAGAUAUUGGGAAGAACACCGGUGGCGAAGGCGGCGACCUGGUCCGAUACUGACGCUGAGGCGCGAAAGCGUGGGGAGCAAACAGGAUUAGAUACCCCCGUAGUCC